RNAcentral lists this ribosomal RNA (500 nucleotides) under uncultured bacterium. Its description in RNAcentral is "partial 16S ribosomal RNA". It matches the Rfam family "Bacterial small subunit ribosomal RNA", at positions 30 to 523 of the family's 1533-position model. The record is from RNAcentral.
AUUGAGCGCUGGCGGAAUGCUUUACACAUGCAAGUCGAACGGCAGCACGGACUUCGGUCUGGUGGCGAGUGGCGAACGGGUGAGUAAUGUAUCGGAACGUGCCCAGUCGUGGGGGAUAACGUAGUGAAAAUUACGCUAAUACCGCAUACGAUCUAUGGAUGAAAGCGGGGGAUCGCAAGACCUCGCGCGAUUGGAGCGGCCGAUAUCAGAUGAGGUAGUUGUUGGGGUAAAGGCCCACCAAGCCAACGAUCUGUAGCUGGUCUGAGAGGACGACCAGCCACACUGGAACUGAGACACGGUCCAGACUCCUACGGGAGGCAGCAGUGGGGAAUUUUGGACAAUGGGCGAAAGCCUGAUCCAGCCAUUCCGCGUGCAGGAUGAAGGCCCUCGGGUUGUAAACUGCUUUUGUACAGAACGAAAAGGUUUCUACUAAUACUAGGAGCUCAUGACGGUACUGUAAGAAUAAGCACCGGCUAACUACGUGCCAGCAGCCGCCGUAA